Molecule: small nucleolar RNA, 121 nt
Filed under: Echinops telfairi (small Madagascar hedgehog)
Lineage: Eukaryota; Metazoa; Chordata; Mammalia; Afrosoricida; Tenrecidae
Description: Small nucleolar RNA SNORA61 (ENSETEG00000024750.1)
Source: RNAcentral
ACCCUCCAGGUCCCUUACCCUUCAGAUCUAAACAUUGGUCUGAGUGUCAAUAAAAGGAGUUACAUUAAAUGUGAAUUGGACUUGGAUGCAUUAGGGAUAUACAAGUUCAUUUCAAAAAUAA